Molecule: ribosomal RNA, 253 nt
Filed under: uncultured bacterium
Lineage: Bacteria
Description: partial 16S ribosomal RNA
Rfam family: Bacterial small subunit ribosomal RNA
Source: RNAcentral
UACGGAGGGUGCAAGCGUUAUCCGGAUUCACUGGGUUUAAAGGGUGCGUAGGUGGGUAGGUAAGUCAGUGGUGAAAUCUUCAAGCUUAACUUGGAAACUGCCAUUGAUACUAUUUAUCUUGAAUACUUUGGAGGUAAGCGGAAUAUGUCAUGUAGCGGUGAAAUGCUUAGAUAUGACAUAGAACACCAAUUGCGAAGGCAGCUUACUACGCAAUAAUUGACACUGAGGCACGAAAGCGUGGGGAUCAAACAGG